This 292-nucleotide ribosomal RNA is filed under the name uncultured bacterium. RNAcentral's name for it is "partial 16S ribosomal RNA". The record is from RNAcentral.
GGACUACAAGGGUAUCUAAUCCUGUUCGCUCCCCACGCUUUCGCGUCUUAGCGUCAGUCGCUGUCCAGGUGGCCGCCUUCGCCACCGGUGUUCUACCCAAUAUCUACGAAUUUCACCUCUACACUGGGCAUUCCGCCACCCUCUCCAGGACUCAAGCCUACCAGUUUCGACUGCACUUCCAUGGUUGAGCCAUGGGCUUUCACAGUCGACUUAGCAGACCGCCUACACGCGCUUUACGCCCAAUAAUUCCGAGCAACGUUUGCACCCUCUGUAUUACCGCGGCUGCUGGCAC